AUCUUUUUUUAUUUAUGAUUUGAAUAAUAUAUUUUUGUAAAGAGUGGAUGGUUUUAAAUACGAAAAAAAAAAUGGCGAGAGAAUCGCCAUAAUUUGUAAUGAUCCUUCCGCAGGUUCACCUACGGAAA
Molecule: unclassified non-coding RNA, 128 nt
Filed under: uncultured fungus
Lineage: Eukaryota; Fungi
Description: sequence contains ITS1
Source: RNAcentral